This 372-nucleotide ribosomal RNA is filed under the name uncultured organism. Its description in RNAcentral is "bacterial SSU rRNA". It matches the Rfam family "Bacterial small subunit ribosomal RNA", at positions 526 to 896 of the family's 1533-position model. The record is from RNAcentral.
CGGAGGGUGCAAGCGUUAAUCGGAAUUACUGGGCGUAAAGGGUUCGUAGGUGGUUUAUCAAGUUAUUUGUAAAAUCCCUGGGCUUAACCUGGGCAGGUCAGAUAAUACUGGUAGACUCGAGUAUGGGAGAGGGUAGUGGAAUUUCCGGUGUAGCGGUGAAAUGCGUAGAGAUCGGAAGGAACACCAGUGGCGAAGGCGGCUACCUGGCCUAAUACUGACACUGAGGAACGAAAGCGUGGGGAGCAAACAGGAUUAGAUACCCUGGUAGUCCACGCCGUAAACGAUGUCAACUAGCUGUUGGUCAUAUUGAUAUGAUUAGUGGCGCAGCAAACGCGAUAAGUUGACCGCCUGGGGAGUACGGUCGCAAGAUUA